This 454-nucleotide ribosomal RNA is filed under the name Desulfurococcaceae archaeon. Its description in RNAcentral is "partial 23S ribosomal RNA". It matches the Rfam family "Archaeal large subunit ribosomal RNA", at positions 2527 to 2975 of the family's 2987-position model. Lineage: Archaea; Thermoproteati; Thermoproteota; Thermoprotei; Desulfurococcales; Desulfurococcaceae. The record is from RNAcentral.
AAAAGUUACCCCGGGGAUAACAGAGUCGUCGCGGGCGAGAGCCCACAUCGACCCCGCGGUUUGCUACCUCGAUGUCGGCUUUUCCCAUCCUGGGGGUGCAGCAGCCCCCAAGGGUGGGGCUGCCCGCCCAUUAAAGGGGAACGUGAGCUGGGUUUAGACCGUCGUGAGACAGGUCGGACUCUACCCACGGGGGGUGUCGGCCGCCUGAGGGGAAGGUGCCCUCAGUACGAGAGGAACGGGGCGCCCCGGCCUCUGGUGUACCGGUUGUCCGGCAGGGCAGAGCCGGGCAGCUACGCCGGAAGGGGUAACCGCUGAAAGCAUCUAAGCGGGAACCCCACCCCGAAAAGAGGCGGCCAUUGAGGGCUCCCGUAGAAGACGGGGUUGAUGGGGCGGGGGUGUAAGCCCCGAGGGGUUUCCCGAGGGGCGAGCCCGCCGCUCCCAAUCGCCCGAGGCC